UACGUAGGGGGCAAGCGUUGUCCGGAAUCAUUGGGCGUAAAGAGCGUGUAGGCGGCUCGAUAAGUCUGCUGUGAAAGUCCAGGGCUCAACCCUGGAAGGCCGGUGGAAACUGUCGGGCUAGAGUCCGGAAGAGGCGAGUGGAAUUCCCGGUGUAGCGGUGAAAUGCGCAGAUAUCGGAAGGAACACCAGUAGCGAAGGCGGUGCUCUGGGCCGGAACUGACGCUGAGGAGCGAAAGCGUGGGGAGCGAACAGG
RNAcentral lists this ribosomal RNA (253 nucleotides) under uncultured bacterium. Its description in RNAcentral is "partial 16S ribosomal RNA". It matches the Rfam family "Bacterial small subunit ribosomal RNA", at positions 524 to 776 of the family's 1533-position model. The record is from RNAcentral.